AUUGAACGCUGGCGGAAUGCUUUACACAUGCAAGUCGAACGGUAGAGGGGGCAACCCCUCGAGAGUGGCGAACGGGUGAGUAAUAUAUCGGAACGUGCCCAGUCGUGGGGGAUAACGUAGCGAAAGUUACGCUAAUACCGCAUACGAUCUAAGGAUGAAAGCGGGGGAUCGCAAGACCUCGCCCGAUUGGAGCGGCCGAUAUCAGAUUAGGUAGUGGGUGGGGUAAAGGCUCACCAAGCCAACGAUCUGUAGCUGGACUGAGAGGACGACCAGCCACGCUGGACCUGCGACACGUUCCAGACUCCUACGGGAGGCAGCAGUGGAGAAUUGUGGACAAUGGGCGAAGGCCUGAUCCAGCCAUUCCGCGUGCAGGAUGAAGGCCCUCGGGGUGUAAACUGCUUUUGUACAGAACGAAAAGGUUUCUACUAAUACUAGGAGCUCAUGACGGUACUGUAAGAAUAAGCACCGGCUAACUACGUGCCAGCAGCCGCAGUAA
Molecule: ribosomal RNA, 496 nt
Filed under: uncultured bacterium
Lineage: Bacteria
Description: partial 16S ribosomal RNA
Rfam family: Bacterial small subunit ribosomal RNA
Source: RNAcentral